CAGUACUCUUAUCCUUGAAUGGGUGAAGCAACCGAAACCAUUACUCUUUAGAUAGGAACUUUAAACUUUAAAAGUUAACUCCAUAUCAAUCCAAUCCAUCAUACCAGGAAGAAAACCCCCCAAAAAUAAACGGCACAGGUACAGUGUAAGUAUUAUUUAAAUGCUAGACUAGUUACAAUUAUCACUUAUAUGACUUAUUAUUUUUUGAAUAUCACUGUAUGGGAAAAGCACUACAAUACACUGUCUGCUUAGGAUAAUUCUAUAACCUUACCUUUAAAGGUAAGGCAACCACUCUUUUUCAGUGAGCAUGAAUAAUAUUGUAUGCAAUGCAUGUUCACCUAGAUAGAGGUAAACACUUUCCCAUCAAGGACCCAAGACAGGAGCUGACUAAUGGAAGCGAUGUGAAACUUAAAGAAUACAGAAAAUAUAGAAAUACAAUAUUUUGAAUUAAAAUAUCUACCAUUGAAUUAACCAUUAAAUUGCCUGAUAUUGACAAACAGCAGACAAUGCAUUAACAAAACGACAGAAAUCAAAACUCUGACAGACUCCAACAUUUUACUGUAUGAAGCAUAAUUAAUCGUCAUUUCUUUUUCUCUCAAAAUGUGCAGCUACUCUCAAAGACCUAUCAAUUUCGGCCCACUGGAAAUUUGCAAUUCAAAAACUCACAGAUUAUGCUGCAUAAUGGCUUAAAAGUAGUGGACUAAUAUAGACAUCACAUGUCACACAUACUCAUACUGGUCAGACAAACAAAAGAUAAUGGGGAUUUAAUCGAUUUUAUAGUGUGCUUCUAGUUGGGUCCAGUAACUGAAAUGAGCAAAGUUCUUGGCAAAGGUACUAUCAUUUUUCUCUCACCUUCUAGUACCUACCAGCGUUGAUGAUGAAACAAUGACUCCCAGGGUCUAUUUACCUAUAAAAAUGUUUUACCGUGUGUUUCAAGUAUUUUUUUGGCUGACACGGUGAGUGAGUCGGUGAGUGAGUCACACGGGGAGUGCGAGAGUUUGGUACAAAAGGGAUAUUAAUGGAAAAUAGUCAUUCAUAAGGAUAGUUGUGCCAUCACUGUGUAGAGCGGGUACCAUAUGGGCUGAGGCCUCAAGGUACCAGCCCGUGUUUGAAUCCGGCUUGGGCCAUAUAUAUAUAGAUAGAUGGAUCUCUCUCUCAUUGUCCAUUGGAUCAGUCCAGUUAACUUUCUAGCCACACCCUAUAAAAAGGGAGUCCGAUUGGUUUGUUGAUUGAGGGCAAAUAUCUGCAUGUCAAGGUAGAUUUAUUUCAUACCCAUAGGUAAAAUUGUUUUACAGAUAAAUGGAAUUUUGUUGUCCAGAAAAAACACAUACAAGACACAACAAUUCACAACAAAUAUAUCGUUAAUAACAUCAUGACAGGCUGCACCAAACACAUGCAUAUCCCUUAUUGUCUCUCAUUAUUAUUUAAAACCUCAAUUGCUGCAGGAACAAAUGUAUUCCUGUAGCGUUUCAUUUUCCAUCUCGGGACCACAAACCGGCAACCCGAGGGAAGUAACUGAAACCCGUUGCUUAAUCCGAGUCGGUGAUCGCGCCGGCGCGAUCAGAGCGCAGGUCGACUUUAGGCUCGCGCAGCAUGAAAACCAAGUGAAGCAGAGGGCUGCCGUCAAUUUCAUGCGGAAGUGCAGACCUGAGGCUACGUUUGAGUGUUUGAUUUUUGUAAAUCCGCCAAGUAAAACUUAAGAUAUGAUCAUUUCAAUUUCAUGAAAAAAGUGCAUCAAAAAAUGGCUCUUUUAUGCGCGCGUUGCAUUUAUUUUAAUAUUUUUCUCGUUUUUUGUACAAAAAUGAAACGGAGAAAAACUGUGGUUUCUGCUGACUCAUAGCUAUAGGAUGCAGGAGAAAGCGAGAAGACAAAGAGACGUCUAAGAAAAAACGAAUUAGGUUUAUUAUGACUAGUUUUCGAAGUAUUUUGAGUAAUUUUGGGGCGAUUUUGAGUAGUAUAGUUAUAUAUUUGGACUUAUUUGGGGGGAAAUGAGGCGGACACGCUGUCUAACAUGCCGUCAACUUGUUAUUUCAACCGAAGAGCAAAAAAGAAAAAAAAUGGACGACCAAGAUUUUUUUGUUUACAACGAGAGGUGAGAAAAACAUUUAUUGCUUUCGUUUAUCUUAUUAUAUUAUUCUUUUCUACUUCACUGUAGUACAAAUGCCUCAGAACAUCUUGAUUUUUGAAUCUUUUACAUCUUUGAAUUUUUUUUAUUGACAUACAGAGAAUAAAGAGCCAUUGCCACGGAGGUCAAAGAGAAAGUUAUAAAUGAGCCAAGUAUGACAUGUAGUGGCGAAAAAAAGAUACCAUGGGCUUGGAUAUGGAGCCAUAUAACAGCUGGAGCUGAAUGGUCGUUAUAACAACCCAUUUAAUUGAAUCAGGUGUGUUGGAGCAGGGAAACAUCUAAAACAUGCAGAACAGCAGCCCUCGAGGACCAGGGUUUAGUUUCAAAGAGCACAUAAUAAUAGCAAGGAACAGGUCCAGUGCCGGUCUUCCCCAGUCUAAAGCUAGGGACGAAAAGGUGGUCUUGGCCAUCAUCUGACAGAGGGGUGGCAGAGAUCCGGCACACAGGACUUGAGGGCAGAUGCGUAGGGGUGUCAACUUGUGACAUUGGAGCUGAGGACAGAGGCAGAGCUUACUGGGCUCCUGAGGUCCGCUGAGAGGAUCUGCUUGCCUUCCACAUGAUCCUUGAACCUCCGCCGGG
Long non-coding RNA from Hypomesus transpacificus, 2704 nucleotides. RefSeq lists it as uncharacterized. The transcript is spliced from 4 exons. Lineage: Eukaryota; Metazoa; Chordata; Actinopteri; Osmeriformes; Osmeridae. The record is from RefSeq and is a predicted model, not a curated record.